This 463-nucleotide ribosomal RNA is filed under the name uncultured bacterium. Its description in RNAcentral is "partial 16S ribosomal RNA". It matches the Rfam family "Bacterial small subunit ribosomal RNA", at positions 28 to 507 of the family's 1533-position model. The record is from RNAcentral.
GACGAACGCUGGCGGCGUGCUUAACACAUGCAAGUCGAACGGAAAGGCCUUUUCGGCGGUACUCGAGUGGCGAACGGGUGAGUAACACGUGGGUGAUCUGCCCUGCACUCUGGGAUAAGCCCGGGAAACUGGGUCUAAUACCGGAUAGGACCGCACUUUAGUGUGUGUGGUGGAAAGUUUUUUCGGUGUAGGAUGAGCCCGCGGCCUAUCAGCUUGUUGGUGGGGUAAUGGCCUACCAAGGCGGCGACGGGUAGCCGGACUGAGAGGUUGGUCGGCCACAUUGGGACUGAGAUACGGCCCAGACUCCUACGGGAGGCAGCAGUGGGGAAUAUUGCACAAGGGGCGCAAGCCUGAUGCAGCGACGCCGCGGGGGGGAUGACGGCCUUCGGGUUGUAAACUCCUUUCGCCAGGGACGAAGCGUUUUGUGACGGUACCUGGAGAAGAAGCACCGGCUAACUACGUG